This is a non-coding RNA of Vicugna pacos (alpaca), 478 nucleotides long. Lineage: Eukaryota; Metazoa; Chordata; Mammalia; Artiodactyla; Camelidae. The record is from the annotation of a RefSeq genome assembly.
UGGGUGCUGUCUCAGAUGACCUGGGGGAGUCCAGACGCAGCAGAGGCGCCUCAUUGGGUGUGUGUGGGUGGGGCGACUGGUGCCAGGACCCAGCUCACCGUCUCCUCAGAGAGCUCGUCUGCCCCGACACUCUUCCCCCUCGCCUCCUGUGAGAGCCCCGUGUCCGACGAGAGCCCAGUGGCCUUGGGCUGCCUAGCCCGGGACUUCCUGCCUGGCUCCAUCACCUUCUCCUGGAGCUACCCGGACGGCAUCGCGGUCAGUAGCCAGAGCAUCAAGACCUUCCCGUCCGUCCUGCGGGAGGGCAAGUAUGUGGCCACCUCCCAGGUGCUCCUGCCCUCCCAGAGCGCCCUCCAGGGGUCAGAGCUGAUUUGCAAAGUCCAGCACUCCAAGGGGAACUCGGACGUGGUUGUGACCCCCCCAGUGCUGUGUCUCCUACAGCCCGGGACCUGAGACUGUUCCUUUGAGAUGGAGCCACCAG